UUACCCGACUGCGCCAGAAGGAGGGUUAUGUUUUUCGAGAGUAUGUAUGUAUGUAUGUAUGUAUGUAUGUAUGUAUGUAUGUAUGUAUAAUUGUUUGGCACGCUCUGUAGCCUAAACGGCUUGAUGGAUUUUGACUUGAGAGGUGUCGUUAGAUUCGUAUUUACUGUGAGAGUGACACUGGAUAUAUCAAAAUAAUAAAAAAACAAAAUGG
Long non-coding RNA from Spodoptera frugiperda (fall armyworm), 211 nucleotides. RefSeq lists it as uncharacterized. The record is from RefSeq and is a predicted model, not a curated record. The transcript is spliced from 2 exons. NCBI's taxonomy places the organism in Eukaryota, Metazoa, Arthropoda, Insecta, Lepidoptera, Noctuidae.